AUACGGAGGGUCCAAGCGUUAUCCGGAUUCAUUGGGUUUAAAGGGUCCGCAGGCGGGAAAAUAAGUCAGUGGUGAAAGCCUACAGCUCAACUGUAGAACUGCCACUGAAACUGUUUUUCUUGAGUAUAGAUGAAGUGGGCGGAAUAUAUCAUGUAGCGGUGAAAUGCAUAGAUAUGAUAUAGAACACCGAUUGCGAAGGCAGCUCACUAAACUAUUACUGACGCUCAGGGACGAAAGCGUGGGGAGCGAACAGGAUUAGAAACCCUAGUAGUCC
RNAcentral lists this ribosomal RNA (274 nucleotides) under uncultured bacterium. RNAcentral's name for it is "partial 16S ribosomal RNA". It matches the Rfam family "Bacterial small subunit ribosomal RNA", at positions 523 to 796 of the family's 1533-position model. The record is from RNAcentral.